ACAGGAAGUGUAUAAAAGAAAACAUAUGACUUUGUAAAAUGAAAAUUUCCUCAACAACACUUUUCAUCAUCAGUGAAUUACUAACCAAAGAGUACACUGAGACAUACUAACAAGAAGAUGGGACUCUAGUCACCACAACUCCUAAUGAUAUUGACCAUUGCUAUUAUCAUGGGAGGAUUUUGCAUGACACUAAGUCAUCUGUUAGCAUCAGCACUUGUGAUGGACUCAGGGGUUACUUCAGAACCUCUGAACAGAGGUACCAGAUUGAGCCCCUCUCUGAUAGCGAUGAGGGAGACCAUGCUGUGGCCUCAUUGAAGGACAUCUCUAGCGUGUGGAGUUACCAACACCAGUUGGAGUACUGACUUUGAACCACCAAGUCGCAGCCGAUCCAGAUCAGGGAGAAUAUCUAUGCUUCAGCAACAGAAGUACAUUGAGCUCUUCCUUGUUGUUGAUAACAGUGAGUUUUCUUUACAGCGGUGUUAUGAUGACCAUCAGGAACAUUACAGGCACAGUGGAGGGAGAAAACUGAACUUCCAAUUGUUAAUUUUUAAGGCAAUUACUUAUUGGUAAGAUUUGAACAUUUCCUAACCUAAAGUGAGCCACACUGUACUGUACAUGAUGUUGUUGUUUUUUAUGGUAAUGUUAGAGAAAAUUGCACAAGAAUGUGUUUCAUUGUAAAAUAGCACCCUGCUUUUCUGAUUUAACACUCAGGAAUAUCCUGAAAUUUUGCUGAUCAUCUUUUAUUUGAUGAUCUAAGAACUUUGCACUCUAAUAGUUGUAAUAGAAACAGUAACUCCAGGUUUCAAGUUUGACACAGAGAGAUUAUCAGGACUCAAUAUCACUUAAGCUUCAAAUGUUUGGUUUAGCUAUGUAACAGCAUUUCUCAUAAUAAGUGCUGGUGAUGUUACUCAAGUUCAGUUUUUUUAAACAUAGUAGGUGCAUUAAAAUGAAUCUAUAAAUUCA
Long non-coding RNA from Notolabrus celidotus (New Zealand spotty), 963 nucleotides. RefSeq lists it as uncharacterized. The transcript is spliced from 5 exons. The record is from RefSeq and is a predicted model, not a curated record. Lineage: Eukaryota; Metazoa; Chordata; Actinopteri; Labriformes; Labridae.